Molecule: transfer RNA, 91 nt
Filed under: Methylobacterium longum
Lineage: Bacteria; Pseudomonadati; Pseudomonadota; Alphaproteobacteria; Hyphomicrobiales; Methylobacteriaceae
Description: tRNA-Thr
Source: RNAcentral
GGUGCGCCGGACGGGCGGCUCCGGGCCGCUCGUCACGGUCAGGGCCGAGGCUGAGGGCGAGGCCCGGCUGUUCCUCGCCGCCGCCUACCCC